Molecule: RNA transcript, 1342 nt
Organism: Brassica napus (rape)
Lineage: Eukaryota; Viridiplantae; Streptophyta; Magnoliopsida; Brassicales; Brassicaceae
Gene name: bifunctional L-3-cyanoalanine synthase/cysteine synthase D1-like
Exons: 11
Source: RefSeq, a predicted model, not a curated record
AUGUUUAGCACGUGGUAUUUGUUUGUUAUGUACUUAGUGCUAAAAGUAUAUAUGAUGGGGUAAUACGCAAUCGUUGCUCUACAUUAUAGACGGUAGUACUAUCGCUCUCACUCUAUCUUCCACCAUUAACACCUCUCUCUCUAUAUCUAUCUCUUUUGUGGACCAGUCUUUACUCUCUCCAGCUUGGAAUUACAAAGAUCUUGAUAGCAUGGAGUACUCAAUCAAGGAUGACGUGACUCAAUUGAUAGGUAACACUCCAAUGGUGUACCUAAACAACAUUGUAGAUGGUUGCGUUGCACGUAUCGCUGCUAAGCUUGAGAUGAUGCAGCCUUGCUCUAGUGUCAAGGACAGAAUUGCUUAUGGAAUGAUUAAAGAUGCAGAAGAACAAGGGACUCAUUUCUCCCGGCAAGGGAACAUAUUGUGAGCCAACAUCUGGUAACACCGGGAUUGGUAUAGCAAUGGUCGGAGCAGCUAGAGGUUACAAAGUUGUGAUUACAAUGCCUGCAUCAGUGAGCAUUGAGAGAAGAAUCGUACUUCUAGCAUUAGGUGCAGAGCUUCACCUCACUGAUCCAAGCAAAGGCGUUAUAGGAGUCAUUGUCAAAGCUGAAGAGAUAUUAAGCAAAACUCCAGAUGGUUUCAUGCUAGAGCAAUUCAGAAACCCUUCAAACCCACAAUCUCAUUAUGACACCACUGGUCCAGAGAUAUGGAGAGACUCUGCAGAGAAAGUAGAUAUGUUGGUUGUUGGUGUUGGGACUGGUGGAACGAUCUCUGGAGCAGGGAAGUUUCUCAAGAAGAAGAAGAAUAAAGACUUUAAGUUUUAUGGGGUGGAACCUGCAGAGAGUGCUGUACUCAGUGGAGGGCAACCUGGUCCACAUGGGAUCCAAGGUAUUGGAGCUGGACUCAUCCCAGACAACUUGGAUUUUAGCGUUCUUGAUGAAGUCAUUCAAGUGACAAGUGUGGAAGCAAUUGAAACAGCCAAACUUCUUGCCCUGAAAGAAGGAUUAUUGGUUGGAAUAUCAUCCGGAGCUGCUGCGGCCGCUGCUAUAAAAGUGGCAAAACGGCCAGAAAACGCUGGGAAGCUCAUAGUUGUGGUUUUCCCGAGUGGCGGGGAACGUUACUUAUCGACUCCAAUGUUCGACUCGAUCAGAUGUGAAGCAGAGAAUUUGGCAAUAGAAUGAGAGAGACUUAUCAUCCACUACUACUACUACUACUUAAUUCGGUUCGGUUAUGUAAUAAAGUAUCAAGAUACCGGUUUUCUCAUUUUUGACAACACAUAAGAAGUGUUGUUUGAUUUGAAAUGACGUAAUAUUGCUUCCAGAAUAAAUUAAGAAAAUUCUAGACA